Molecule: transfer RNA, 71 nt
Filed under: bacterium
Lineage: Bacteria
Description: tRNA-Thr
Rfam family: tRNA
About the family: Transfer RNA (tRNA) molecules are approximately 80 nucleotides in length. Their secondary structure includes four short double-helical elements and three loops (D, anti-codon, and T loops).
Source: RNAcentral
GCCAGUGUAGCUCAAUGGCAGAGCGAUGCUUUCGUAAAGCAAGGAUGGAGGUUCGAUUCCUCUCACUGGCU